This 313-nucleotide ribosomal RNA is filed under the name uncultured bacterium. RNAcentral describes it as "bacterial SSU rRNA". It matches the Rfam family "Bacterial small subunit ribosomal RNA", at positions 29 to 372 of the family's 1533-position model. The record is from RNAcentral.
AACGAACGCUGGCGGCAGGCUUAACACAUGCAAGUCGAACGCUCCGCAAGGAGAGUGGCAGACGGGUGAGUAACGCGUGGGAACGUGCCUUUUGGUUCGGAACAACUUCGGGAAACUGGAGCUAAUACCGAAUGUGCCCUUCGGGGGAAAGAUUUAUCGCCAAAAGAUCGGCCCGCGUCAGAUUAGCUAGUUGGUGGGGUAAUGGCCUACCAAGGCGACGAUCUGUAGCUGGUCUGAGAGGAUGAUCAGCCACACUGGGACUGAGACACGGCCCAGACUCCUACGGGAGGCAGCAGUGGGAAUAUUGGACAAU